RNAcentral lists this long non-coding RNA (362 nucleotides) under Phoenix dactylifera (date palm). Its description in RNAcentral is "long non-coding RNA (PDAC_LNC005042)". The record is from RNAcentral. Lineage: Eukaryota; Viridiplantae; Streptophyta; Magnoliopsida; Arecales; Arecaceae.
UCCCCAUUGCUUCAAGAACUCAUCCACAAACUCCGUCCAUCCCAAUGGAUUCCCUUCUCUAGCGUAGAGGUUCCUUAGCCACCUCCACCAUCGGUUGGCCCUCCCCUCCAAGUGAUAGGAAGCUAGAGUCACCUUCUCCUCCCUAGGGAUUUCGUACACUAGGAAGUAUUGCUCCACUCUAUCCAACCACUCAUAAGGGUCACCUCCUCCAAAUGUAGGGAAAUCGAUCUUCGGUUUCCGGAUCCUAUCAUGCCGAUCCGAAACCCUAACAUCUUCUUCCUUUCUUCUCCUCCUUUCCUCCCUAUCUCUCCGGCCAUAAGGCCUUCGAUGUAGAGGACUCCUUUGGGGCUCACUCUCUCCUC